This 1343-nucleotide ribosomal RNA is filed under the name uncultured bacterium. RNAcentral describes it as "16S ribosomal RNA". It matches the Rfam family "Bacterial small subunit ribosomal RNA", at positions 28 to 1378 of the family's 1533-position model. The record is from RNAcentral.
GACGAACGCUGGCGGCGUGCUUAACACAUGCAAGUCGAACGGAAAGGCCCUGCUUUUGUGGGGUGCUCGAGUGGCGAACGGGUGAGUAACACGUGAGUAACCUGCCCUUGACUUUGGGAUAACUUCAGGAAACUGGGGCUAAUACCGGAUAGGAGCUCCUGCUGCAUGGUGGGGGUUGGAAAGUUUCGGCGGUUGGGGAUGGACUCGCGGCUUAUCAGCUUGUUGGUGGGGUAGUGGCUUACCAAGGCUUUGACGGGUAGCCGGCCUGAGAGGGUGACCGGCCACAUUGGGACUGAGAUACGGCCCAGACUCCUACGGGAGGCAGCAGUGGGGAAUAUUGCACAAUGGGCGGAAGCCUGAUGCAGCAACGCCGCGUGCGGGAUGACGGCCUUCGGGUUGUAAACCGCUUUCGCCUGUGACGAAGCGUGAGUGACGGUAAUGGGUAAAGAAGCACCGGCUAACUACGUGCCAGCAGCCGCGGUGAUACGUAGGGUGCGAGCGUUGUCCGGAUUUAUUGGGCGUAAAGGGCUCGUAGGUGGUUGAUCGCGUCGGAAGUGUAAUCUUGGGGCUUAACCCUGAGCGUGCUUUCGAUACGGGUUGACUUGAGGAAGGUAGGGGAGAAUGGAAUUCCUGGUGGAGCGGUGGAAUGCGCAGAUAUCAGGAGGAACACCAGUGGCGAAGGCGGUUCUCUGGGCCUUUCCUGACGCUGAGGAGCGAAAGCGUGGGGAGCGAACAGGCUUAGAUACCCUGGUAGUCCACGCUGUAAACGGUGGGUACUAGGUGUGGGGUCCAUUCCACGGGUUCCGUGCCGUAGCUAACGCUUUAAGUACCCCGCCUGGGGAGUACGGCUGCAAGGCUAAAACUCAAAGGAAUUGACGGGGCCCCGCACAAGCGGCGGAGCAUGCGGAUUAAUUCGAUGCAACGCGUAGAACCUUACCUGGGUUUGACAUGGAUCGGGAGCGCUCAGAGAUGGGUGUGCCUCUUUUGGGGUCGGUUCACAGGUGGUGCAUGGCUGUCGUCAGCUCGUGUCGUGAGAUGUUGGGUUAAGUCCCGCAACGAGCGCAACCCUUGUUCACUGUUGCCAGCACGUUAUGGUGGGGACUCAGUGGAGACCGCCGGGGUCAACUCGGAGGAAGGUGGGGAUGACGUCAAGUCAUCAUGCCCCUUAUGUCCAGGGCUUCACGCAUGCUACAAUGGCUGGUACAGAGAGUGGCGAGCCUGUGAGGAUGAGCGAAUCUCGGAAAGCCGGUCUCAGUUCGGAUUGGGGUCUGCAACUCGACCUCAUGAAGUCGGAGUCGCUAGCAAUCGCAGAUCAGCAACGUUGCGGUGAAUACGUUCCCGGG